AAAUUGAAGAGUUUGAUCAUGGCUCAGAUUGAACGCUGGCGGCAGGCCUAACACAUGCAAGUCGAACGGUAACAGGAAGCAGCUUGCUGCUUUGCUGACGAGUGGCGGACGGGUGAGUAAUGUCUGGGAAACUGCCUGAUGGAGGGGGAUAACUACUGGAAACGGUAGCUAAUACCGCAUAACGUCGCAAGA
Molecule: ribosomal RNA, 192 nt
Filed under: Escherichia coli
Lineage: Bacteria; Pseudomonadati; Pseudomonadota; Gammaproteobacteria; Enterobacterales; Enterobacteriaceae
Also listed under: 6 other names
Description: partial 16S ribosomal RNA
Rfam family: Bacterial small subunit ribosomal RNA
Source: RNAcentral